Long non-coding RNA from Hordeum vulgare subsp. vulgare (domesticated barley), 1578 nucleotides. RefSeq lists it as uncharacterized. The transcript has 2 exons. NCBI's taxonomy places the organism in Eukaryota, Viridiplantae, Streptophyta, Magnoliopsida, Poales, Poaceae. The record is from RefSeq and is a predicted model, not a curated record.
UAUUUGCCACUUUUAAUAUGGGGCUUCGCAAAAAUGCCACUGUCAAGAUUGAUUUCGUAAAAAUGCCAUCCAGCUCGUGUGCACUUCGAUUAACAUGCCAUUUUUAUUUUUCCCAUUGUUUUUAUUUUUUAUUUUUUAUUUUCUAACACCUGAAAGGACCAAAGUGUCCUUGAAUCUUUGAACCUUAUUCGAUGGGUUUGCGGGCUGGUUGGAUGGAUUGCUGAGCCUACCUCAUCCUUGUUGAUCGUGCUUGCUCGAGCCACCUUAGCUCGAGCACGCCCAUGGAAGCAAACCACAGGUCACCGCCGUCUCUCGUCAACACCUGUGUGCACCAUCGCAGCUUGCCUUACCACAUCCAUGGAAGCAACCGCAGGUCGCCGUCAGUACGCGCCCAUGCCUGCUCGCGCCGGCGCAGCUCACCCACGCCUUGUUGAUGCAUGCGCGAGCAACUCAAGCUCGCCGGCGGUGCUUGUGCACGUCUGCACGUGCUGGCGCAGCCUCGCGGAUGCCUGCACGAGACACCGCAGCUCGCCGCCGGUGCUCACCCUCCCCUACACGCGUUGGCUCAGCUCGUCCUGAGAGCCAAGACAUGCGAGGGCGUCGCAUAACAGCACCACCAGUGGCGUGAUGGUAGCACCAGCUAAAGGAGGAGGUGGAUGUGUGUGCAUGUUCUGAAGAUGGAUAUGCAAGGAACCUUCAGUAUGUAUACCUGCAAAGAUUGAUGCAAGGCGUCUAAAAGAUAGUGGAUCCGGCAAGCACGAGAAUGGGCUUGCACGCUCUCCUAUUUCAAGUGUUGAUCAUAUCCCAAGUGCGUCUAGAUAAUAUCAAGGGCAGUUUAGUCUUUUCCGGUGCCUGGAAAUGGAAAAAGAAGAAAGAAAUCUGUAAAAGGAGUGGAAUGGCAUGUUAAUCAAACUGCACUUGAGCUGGAUGGCAUUUUUACAAAGCCAAUCUUGAAAGUGGCACCUUUGCGAAGCCCCGUAUUGAAAGUGGUAAAAAGUCAAUUUUCUCGCUGAGACGUGUUUCUUCAUCGGUAGGCGAUUGUUCUCGGCUCGUGCCCUGCUGCCUCUCUCGCCAGAUCCGCCGUCGAGGUAAGGUGGAGCAGCGUGGCUGCCUCAUCGCCAUGGUGGGGGAUGGUGGGAGGAUGGCCGGCAUGGACGAACCACGAGGAGCAACAUCACUAUUGCGAGAAGCUCGGUGGUGGCCAGAUCUAGAGUCCAGCGGCUCGGCGGCAAGGUCUGGUGAGGAGUUAAUAGCUCCUCCUCAUCUUCCUUAAAAAAAGAUUUAAGAGCCUAUGUAGAAGCGAUUCCUCUCCUUGUUUUUUUCUUAAACAAGAUUUUUGUUCUUUGCUCAAUCUUUCCAUAUGCAUCUGGUUUCGUGUGUGAUAGUGGCUUCUAUCCACUUAUUUUUAAUCCAGAAUAUGGAGACCUUAUUUUAUUUCCUCUCCUGCAAUUUUCCAGAUAGAAGACUGCACUUGUUUUGCCCCUCUCCAUACUCAGGAAUUUUUUUAUUGAUCUGAAUGUGCAUCUUGUAAUCCUUACCUGAACUUUGAUGGAAGAAACGAGGACCUUUCUACUGCUA